This 497-nucleotide ribosomal RNA is filed under the name uncultured bacterium. RNAcentral's name for it is "partial 16S ribosomal RNA". It matches the Rfam family "Bacterial small subunit ribosomal RNA", at positions 28 to 507 of the family's 1533-position model. The record is from RNAcentral.
GAUGAACGCUGGCGGCGUGCCUAAUACAUGCAAGUCGAGCGAACAGACGAGGAGCUUGCUCCUCUGACGUUAGCGGCGGACGGGUGAGUAACACGUGGAUAACCUACCUAUAAGACUGGGAUAACUUCGGGAAACCGGAGCUAAUACCGGAUAAUAUAUUGAACCGCAUGGUUCAAUAGUGAAAGACGGUUUUGCUGUCACUUAUAGAUGGAUCCGCGCCGCAUUAGCUAGUUGGUAAGGUAACGGCUUACCAAGGCGACGAUGCGUAGCCGACCUGAGAGGGUGAUCAGCCACACUGGAACUGAGACACGGUCCAGACUCCUACGGGAGGCAGCAGUAGGGAAUCUUCCGCAAUGGGCGAAAGCCUGACGGAGCAACGCCGCGUGAGUGAUGAAGGUCUUCGGAUCGUAAACCUCUGUUAUUAGGGACGAACAAAUGUGUAAGUAACUAUGCACGUCUUGACGGUACCUAAUCAGAAAGCAACGGCUAACUACGUG